Hippopotamus amphibius kiboko is the source of this 132-nucleotide small nucleolar RNA. RefSeq annotates it as small nucleolar RNA SNORA42/SNORA80 family. NCBI's taxonomy places the organism in Eukaryota, Metazoa, Chordata, Mammalia, Artiodactyla, Hippopotamidae. The record is from RefSeq and is a predicted model, not a curated record. The transcript has a single exon.
GCAUGGGUUUGGAUUCAUGGCAAGCCCGUCCCACUGGGCCUCUCAUAGUGCCCCAUGUCAGAGCAAACUGGCCCUGAAUCAUUGCCUGGCCUCUGUCCAUAGGUUACAGGCACUAAAGUGGUCUGCACAGUG